GAUGAACGUUAGCGGGAGGCUUAAUACAUGCAAGUCGAGCGGUAAGUUUUUAUAGCAAUAUGAAGACCUAGAGCGGCGCACGGGUGAGUAACGCGUACAUGACCUGCCCUAUACUGGGGGAUAGUCUUGGGAAACUGAGAAUAAUCCCGCAUGUGAUUAGAAUGCUGCAUGGCAAAUUAAUUAAAGCUGAGGCGGUAUAGGAUGGGUGUGCGUCUGAUUAGCUAGUUGGUAGUGUAAAGGCCCACCAAGGCGACGAUGGGUAGCUGGUCUGAGAGGAUGGUCAGCCACACUGGGACUGAGAUACGGCCCAGACUCCUACGGGAGGCAGCAGUGGGGGAAUCUUGGGACAAUGGGCGCAAGCCUGACCCAGCCAUGCCGCGUGAGUGACGAAGGCCUUAGGGUUGUAAAGCUCUUUUCGGCGGGGACGAUAAUGACGGUACCCGCAGAAUAAGCCCCGGCUAACUUCGUGCCAGCAGCCGCGGU
This 483-nucleotide ribosomal RNA is filed under the name uncultured bacterium. RNAcentral's name for it is "bacterial SSU rRNA". It matches the Rfam family "Bacterial small subunit ribosomal RNA", at positions 28 to 521 of the family's 1533-position model. The record is from RNAcentral.